GUGAACGCUGGCGGUAGGCCUAACACAUGCAAGUCGAACGGCAGCACAGUAAGAGCUUGCUCUUACGGGUGGCGAGUGGCGGACGGGUGAGGAAUACAUCGGAAUCUACUUUUUCGUGGGGGAUAACGUAGGGAAACUUACGCUAAUACCGCAUACGACCUACGGGUGAAAGCAGGGGAUCUUCGGACCUUGCGCGAUUGAAUGAGCCGAUGUCGGAUUAGCUAGUUGGCGGGGUAAAGGCCCACCAAGGCGACGAUCCGUAGCUGGUCUGAGAGGAUGAUCAGCCACACUGGAACUGAGACACGGUCCAGACUCCUACGGGAGGCAGCAGUGGGGAAUAUUGGGCAAAGGGCGCAAGCCUGAUCCAGCCAUACCGCGUGGGUGAAGAAGGCCUUCGGGUUGUAAAGCCCUUUUGUUGGGAAAGAAAAGCAGCAGGUUAAUACCCCGCUGUUCUGACGGUACCCAAAGAAUAAGCACCGGCUAACUUCGUG
RNAcentral lists this ribosomal RNA (491 nucleotides) under uncultured bacterium. RNAcentral's name for it is "partial 16S ribosomal RNA". It matches the Rfam family "Bacterial small subunit ribosomal RNA", at positions 29 to 507 of the family's 1533-position model. The record is from RNAcentral.